GACGAACGCUGGCGGCGUGCUUAACACAUGCAAGUCGAACGAGAGUUAGAUCGAAUGAGUUUUCGGACAAAUGAGAUUUAACGAAAGUGGCGAACGGGUGAGUAACACGUGAGCAACCUGCCUUACACAGGGGGAUAGCCAUUGGAAACGGUGAUUAAUACCCCAUAAGACCACAAUACCGCAUGGUAAAAGGGUAAAAGGGAUACCGGUGUAAGAUGGGCUCGCGUCUGAUUAGCUAGUUGGUGGGGUAAAGGCCUACCAAGGCGACGAUCAGUAGCCGGUCUGAGAGGAUGAACGGCCACAUUGGAACUGAGACACGGUCCAAACUCCUACGGGAGGCAGCAGUGGGGAAUAUUGCACAAUGGGGGAAACCCUGAUGCAGCGACGCCGCGUGAGCGAAGAAGGCUUUCGAGUCGUAAAGCUCUGUCCUAUGAGAAGAUAAUGACGGUAUCAUAGGAGGAAGCCCUGGCUAAAUACGUGCCAGCAGCCGCGGUAAUACGUAUGGGGCGAGCGUUGUCCGGAAUUAUUGGGCGUAAAGGGUACGUAGGCGGUUUUUUAAGUCAGGUGUCAAAGCGUGGAGCUUAACUCCAUUAAGCACUUGAAACUGAAAGACUUGAGUGAAGGAGAGGAAAGUGGAAUUCCUAGUGUAGCGGUGAAAUGCGUAGAUAUUAGGAGGAAUACCGGUGGCGAAGGCGACUUUCUGGACUUUUACUGACGCUCAGGUACGAAAGCGUGGGGAGCAAACAGG
RNAcentral lists this ribosomal RNA (748 nucleotides) under uncultured Parvimonas sp. Its description in RNAcentral is "bacterial SSU rRNA". It matches the Rfam family "Bacterial small subunit ribosomal RNA", at positions 28 to 776 of the family's 1533-position model. Lineage: Bacteria; Bacillati; Bacillota; Tissierellia; Tissierellales; Peptoniphilaceae. The record is from RNAcentral.